RNAcentral lists this ribosomal RNA (426 nucleotides) under Photobacterium rosenbergii. RNAcentral's name for it is "bacterial SSU rRNA". It matches the Rfam family "Bacterial small subunit ribosomal RNA", at positions 258 to 676 of the family's 1533-position model. Lineage: Bacteria; Pseudomonadati; Pseudomonadota; Gammaproteobacteria; Vibrionales; Vibrionaceae. The record is from RNAcentral.
UAAGAGCUCACCAAGGCGACGAUCUCUAGCUGGUCUGAGAGGAUGAUCAGCCACACUGGAACUGAGACACGGUCCAGACUCCUACGGGAGGCAGCAGUGGGGAAUAUUGCACAAUGGGGGAAACCCUGAUGCAGCCAUGCCGCGUGUGUGAAGAAGGCCUUCGGGUUGUAAAGCACUUUCAGUUGUGAGGAAGGCAUAUGCGUUAAUAGCGUAUGUGUUUGACGUUAGCAACAGAAGAAGCACCGGCUAACUCCGUGCCAGCAGCCGCGGUAAUACGGAGGGUGCGAGCGUUAAUCGGAAUUACUGGGCGUAAAGCGCAUGCAGGCGGCUUGUUAAGCCAGAUGUGAAAGCCCGGGGCUCAACCUCGGAAUAGCAUUUGGAACUGGCAGGCUAGAGUCUUGUAGAGGGGGGUAGAAUUUCAGGUGU